GUGGGGAAUAUUGCACAAUGGGGGAAACCCUGAUGCAGCGACGCCGCGUGAGCGAAGAAGUAUUUCGGUAUGUAAAGCUCUAUCAGCAGGGAAGAAAAUGACGGUACCUGACUAAGAAGCACCGGCUAAAUACGUGCCAGCAGCCGCGGUAAUACGUAUGGUGCAAGCGUUAUCCGGAUUUACUGGGUGUAAAGGGAGCGUAGACGGAUGGGCAAGUCUGAUGUGAAAACCCGGGGCUCAACCCCGGGACUGCAUUGGAAACUGUUCAUCUAGAGUGCUGGAGAGGUAAGUGGAAUUCCUAGUGUAGCGGUGAAAUGCGUAGAUAUUAGGAGGAACACCAGUGGCGAAGGCGGCUUACUGGACAGUAACUGACGUUGAGGCUCGAAAGCGUGGGGAGCAAACAGGAUUAGAAACCCCAGUAGUCC
RNAcentral lists this ribosomal RNA (425 nucleotides) under uncultured bacterium. RNAcentral describes it as "bacterial SSU rRNA". It matches the Rfam family "Bacterial small subunit ribosomal RNA", at positions 354 to 796 of the family's 1533-position model. The record is from RNAcentral.